This 462-nucleotide ribosomal RNA is filed under the name uncultured delta proteobacterium. Its description in RNAcentral is "bacterial SSU rRNA". It matches the Rfam family "Bacterial small subunit ribosomal RNA", at positions 84 to 523 of the family's 1533-position model. The record is from RNAcentral. Lineage: Bacteria; Deltaproteobacteria.
CCCGAGUUAAACCGGCGCACGGGUGAGUAACACGUAGGUAACGUACCCUUGAGUCUGGGAUAACCAGUCGAAAGACUGGCUAAUACCAGAUACGACUGCGGGAGCUCCGGCUCCUGCAGUGAAAGAUGGCCUCUAUUUAUAAGCUAUCACUCAUGGUUCGGCCUGCGCACCAUUAGCUAGUUGGUGAGGUAAAGGCUCACCAAGGCUGAGAUGGUUAGCUGGUCUGAGAGGAUGGCCAGCCACACUGGGACUGAGACACGGCCCAGACUCCUACGGGAGGCAGCAGUGGGAAUAUUGCGCAAUGGGCGAAAGCCUGACGCAGCGACGCCGCGUGGGUGAUGAAGGCCUUCGGGUCGUAAAGCCCUGUCGGGAGGGAAGAAACAACCCGGACCUAAUACGUCCGGGAAUUGACGGUACCUCCUAAGGAAGCACCGGCUAACUCCGUGCCAGCAGCCGCGGUAA